Molecule: ribosomal RNA, 305 nt
Filed under: uncultured bacterium
Lineage: Bacteria
Description: bacterial SSU rRNA
Rfam family: Bacterial small subunit ribosomal RNA
Source: RNAcentral
CCUACGGGGCGCAGCAGUGGGGAAUAUUGGGCAAUGGGCGCAAGCCUGACCCAGCAACGCCGCGUGAAGGAAGAAGGCUUUCGGGUUGUAAACUUCUUUUCUCAGGGACGAAGCAAGUGACGGUACCUGAGGAAUAAGCCACGGCUAACUACGUGCCAGCAGCCGCGGUAAUACGUAGGUGGCAAGCGUUAUCCGGAUUUACUGGGUGUAAAGGGAGCGCAGGCGGCGUGGCAAGUCAGAUGUGAAAACCCGGGGCCCAACCCCGGGAGUGCAUUUGAAACUGCCAUGCUGGAGUGCCGGAGCGG